GGUCUUAUCUUAAGGCAUUGGGCUAAGUGCUGGGCCCAGAGAGAUAAACUUGGCACAGUCCCUCAAGGAGUAUUGUGAUGGGCAAUACAUAAAUCACAGCAUGAUGUAGUUAAGUGCUUACAGAGCCAGAUAUUAUCUACUAAGUUAAAGAUGAAAAGAACCCGAGAAAACUAGAAGAGGCGAUUUUUAAAGACUCUUGAGGGAACAAUAAUAGCUCCCCAGGUUGACAGGCAAUGAAGGAUACUCCAGGUAGAGAGGGGGAAUUGCUUGGAUCAUCAGGGGUCUCUAAGCAGCCUGGUAUAGGUGGAGUGGUAGGAUAUGAACUAGGAAAGAAGGCUGAAGCCAUGUAAUAAAACACCUUACAUCCCAGAGUAAGGAGGUUAAGGUCCAUUGAGUUUUGAACUAGAGCCCCUAAAAUGUCCUUGUACUAAGGUCAGGAAUGAUCCCAGGGAUAUUCUGUAGGCUAUGCUAGAAAUUAUAGCUUGGGGUAAAGGAGAAAUCAUGAAUUAAGCAACUAGCAUAACCAGAUAAGAUCCAGGUAAAUAGGAUCCCAGCCAAAGAAUUUGUCCUGCAGGGUCAUAACUGUCUUUUGAAAUAAAUAGAUAAGCCAUCUUCCUUUGCCCUACAACACCCUUAGCAUGUUAACCUGAGCUUCUAAUGAAACUUGUUCCAGGACUCACAAAGAUUUUCAAUUUCCUUUUAACCUGCAAGAAGCUGAUUAAAUUAAGCGCUAUUGACAUCCAGGCUCUUAAAAUAGAAACUCAUUUAAAGGGAUCAGCGGUCAGAAUAACACAUGCCGUGUCACCCUCUGGUUCCCCUUUCUUUUACCCUCCCUUGGUUCUAGCUAUAGGCUUUUUUUUUUUUUUUUUUUUUUUGUGGAUGAAGCUCUGUCAGCUUGUAGGUUUCCCUGAUGAACCCAACUCCCCACUUUCUCAGUGGCUAAAGCAAAAUCACAGAACCAGACUGACUCUUCAAAGUUUUAGAUAAAAACCUCAAAUGGGCACUUGCCAAUGGCUAGGAAUCCUACUAUGCUUCCAUAGGAAGUGCACUUAGGUGGUCUUCCAGAGUUGUUUCACACUCUUUCCUCUGCUCCAACUUCCCACACCUGCCUCUUCUCAACUAAGUGACCUCAUCUUAUCAUAAGACAGAAGCCUUCAGAGUGGGAAACCUGACCUUCCUGCUAGUCUUCUCCAUAAACCCGCUCUACCUGUGUCCAUCAGCGGUCAGCUCCUGCACCUGCGUCCCAUGCUCUCCGUCCUGUUACCUGCUUCAGGACUUUCCCCAGCCUUGAUUUCCCCCCUUAUUUUCUCCAUCAACAAUCUCUUCUCUACUUGGCUCAGUCCAUAUUGUAUAAACAUGCUUUAGUGUCUCCCACCUUUAAAAGAAGACCUUGCCUUUCCCCAUCCCUCAUCCCCCUCCACAUGUGGCAUCAUUUCUGAGCCGAGUUUUACAGUAAGACUUCCUUCUGGGAUACACUGUCUAAAUUUGGACUCUCUACCACCUCACAUCUCCUCUUUAAGUCUUCCCGACUUGGCUUCUUCCCACAUCAUUCCACUGAAACGGCUCCAUUACAGCAAAGACGGUUUGGAGAAAACCACACGCCGAGGCUGACUGAUGGGACUUCAAAUUGGUGAUUCCUACAAACGGGUCCUUAAUGCUGCCCAGAGGCCACACUCCCAGUCCUUGAGUAUUUUACACUUUUCUCAGACCUUCACCACUUUUUCAUUGGUGACCUUGCUUUGCACUUUUCAGUUCUACAGAAACUGAAACAGUUUGAAGGGAACUUCAGUGCAUGCAGCUGAAUGGACCCAUCACUUGUACCUGUGUCCUACCUGUCUCAUUAACUAAGGUGCCCGUGGUCCUUGCGAAGGUCGACCCCUCCAUGUGCGCACUGGAUCCCCUCUGCUCUCCCCUACUCAUUGACUGUCCUGGUUAACUAACUCUGCCCUGUCCUCUGGUAUCACCGUUUCUCUAUUAUCCUCAGCACCCUACAAAAUACGUCACUUCUCCUGCGAAAAACAGCAGCAACGUGGUGAGAACAAAAACUUCGCUUGGCCACAGCUCUCCUCCAGUUACCAUUUCCAUUCCUUUCUCUUCCAUUUAUUACCGAACCAGGUGAAUUAGGUUCAUUUUGCCCAAAGCGCGGCAAGCCAAAAAGGUUGAGACGCUGAAGUCUGCAGCAAAGAGGGAGUUUUGUCAAAAUGCAGCCUAAAAGGAAACAGGAGAAAAAUCACAAAUUCACCUCCUGGAGGUGAGGUGCUCAGGGUAGGGGUACUUAUGGGAUGGGGGAUGAAGCAGCAGGGAGUCUGAGGUGUGGGGGGCAUGGGAAGCGGGGCAGAGGAUGACUAGAAGAAGGGGUGGGUAUCAAGGUUCUGCACAGGUGCAACCAAAUUACAAGCCUCUGCGCGUCUCAAAGAAGGUGGUGCUCAGCAUCAUCUGAGGGUGGAGCUUUUGGUCCUCUGACGUCAAAAGGUCACCAAGGGGACACUCAGGCAUGCGCAGUUGGAGCGUCUGUGGUCCUAGCCAGUCCUAUGCAGCUCAGCUCCAACUAGCCAGAGCUGAAUGCUGGCUCCCCUGAGCUAGACACCCAUGGCUGCAAGUUCUGAGAAAGAAGAGAACUUGAGCAAAAAUACUGUUUAGGCUUUGUGUUGUUUGGAGGACAUGCAAGUCUUUUGUAGCAACCAUUAAAAUCACCUUGAUUAGUAAAGGCAGAUUGUAGGUGAAAUGGGUUUGGCUGAGAGGUACCCACAGUUUCACUUUUACAACCAGUUUUUCCAAAGAAGAGGCUACACUUGAUGUCUCUAGAUUCACUCCUCCCAUUCUCUCCUGAAUCCGUUGCACUCAAGCUUUUACCUCAUGAAUCUCUUCUGAUCUACUCCAAGAAAAUGCAUCUUAAUGGGAUCAGCCAAUCGCUCUCUGUUAAGUCGGAAGGUCAAUGCUCUUUUUUGGCAUAUCAGCAGCAUUCGAUUGCCCUUCUCCUUGAAACACUUGCUUUACCUGGCAGCCAGGACGUCGUGCUUGCCUGGUGUUCCACCUGCCUCUCUGGAUGCUCCCGUCAGGCUCCUUUUCUGGUUCUUCCUCAUAGCCUUAGAUGUUGGAGAGGACCAGGGAUCUGUGUACACCUAAUCUCUUCUUUCUACACUUAUGUCUUAGUGGGUUCAUCCAGUCUCAUGGUUUUAAAUUUCAUACAUGUGCUCUGAUUACUUCCUAUUCCCUGUCUUACACCUGGUUAUUUUCCCUGAACUCUGGAUUCGUUUGUGUGUCCAAAUGCUGACACAGCUUCCUCAUGGAGAUAUUUAAUAAGCACUUCAAAAUUAGCAAAUCCAAAACUGAAUUCAUUUUCUCCUCCCCAAAUGCACAGCCUCUAUAGUCUUCAUCUCAAUAAAGGACAACUCCAUUUUUUAAGUUUCUCAGACCAAAAAAUCUUGAAGUCAUCCUUAACUCUUUUUUUCUCUCACAUCCCACAUCCAAUUCAUUAGCAAAACCAGUUGGCUCCACCCCUUAAAUAUUUCCAGUCCAACCACUUCUUACCACCUCACUGUUAAUUAUCUGGUGGAGCCAUCAUCACUUACAGCCUGGGUUAUUGCAAUAGCUUCCUAACUGGUCUCUACUCUGGUUUGGUGUUUUGGCCUCUGCUUCUAUUCUUGCUUCCACAUAGUUGAUUAACACAGCAGCCAGAAUGAACCAUUUGAAACUCAAAUCAGGUCAUGUAAAUGAUCUACUCAAAACCUUCCAACCAUAUCACUCAGGAUAAAAGUCAAAAUUCAUGCUCUGUCUACAAGACCCUCCCUGUCUGACCCCAUUCCUCCUCUGCUCUCCCCGAUACCCUUCUCGUUUCCUCCACUUCCACCACUCUGGCUUCCUUGCUCUUCUUUCACAUGCCAGGCACACUCUUGCCUCAGGGCCUUUUAAAUUAAUUUCCCCUCUGCCUGGAAAGCUCCCCGGAUAUCUGCAUGGCUCAUCUCUCACCGAAGGAUCUUACAGAGAUGUCAUUUUGCUCUUGAGAGGUCUUCCUCGACCAGCCUGUCACCCACUACCACCUCCCCCUGUUCCUUCCCCAGCUUUGUCCUUCACCUUAAAAUAUACAGUAUAUAAAAGAGCAGUAAGUGUUAUCUAUUUAUCUUAUGAUCUGUCUCUCUCACUGAAAGGUAAGCUCCAAAGGGCAGGGAUCUUUUAAAAUGUUCCACUCGCCUCCAUAUCUGCAGGACCCAGAGGAGUGCCUGACUCCAAAUAGAUAUUUGCUCAACUGUCAACAGGUUGAGUAAGAUAAGGAUAGAGAAAACCUAAAAACCUUUUAGUCACCUGGGUGCGGGCACCCAACUGGCAGAGAACUGGAUUUAAUCAGGGUUUGGUUUCACCUAGCAACCACUUCAUUCUCCCAUUCACCUGCCUUACAGAAUACAUAGAAUACAGAGGAUAGAUACUUGCUAUGUUAGGCUGCUAAGGUGAAUGGUAAUUUGUUUUGUGUUAAAAUCUCCAACUCUGAUUUGUGGGUUUACCUAUUUCUUAAGUUUUUUGCUUCAUGUAUUUUGAAGUCUUCUUUUUUUUUUUUUUUUUUUUUUUUGAUUUUUAGGGCCAUACCUGUGGCAUAUGGA
RNAcentral lists this long non-coding RNA (4595 nucleotides) under Sus scrofa (pig). RNAcentral describes it as "lncRNA (ENSSSCG00000056354.1)". Lineage: Eukaryota; Metazoa; Chordata; Mammalia; Artiodactyla; Suidae. The record is from RNAcentral.